This 433-nucleotide ribosomal RNA is filed under the name uncultured bacterium. RNAcentral describes it as "partial 16S ribosomal RNA". It matches the Rfam family "Bacterial small subunit ribosomal RNA", at positions 29 to 507 of the family's 1533-position model. The record is from RNAcentral.
AACGAACGCUGGCAGCAGGCUUAACACAUGCAAGUCGAGCGAGACCUUCGGGUCUAGCGGCGGACGGGUGAGUAACGCGUGGGAACGUGCCCUUCUCUACGGAAUAGCCCCGGGAAACUGGGAGUAAUACCGUAUACGCCCUUUGGGGGAAAGAUUUAUCGGAGAAGGAUCGGCCCGCGUUGGAUUAGGUAGUUGGUGGGGUAAUGGCCCACCAAGCCGACGAUCCAUAGCUGGUUUGAGAGGAUGAUCAGCCACACUGGGACUGAGACACGGCCCAGACUCCUACGGGAGGCAGCAGUGGGGAAUCUUAGACAAUGGGGGCAACCCUGAUCUAGCCAUGCCGCGUGAGUGAUGAAGGCCUUAGGGUUGUAAAGCUCUUUCAGCUGGGAAGAUAAUGACGGUACCAGCAGAAGAAGCCCCGGCUAACUCCGUG